CAGUAGCCGCGGUAAUACGUAGGGUGCAAGCGUUAUCCGGAAUUAUUGGGCGUAAAGAGCUCGUAGGCGGUUUGUCGCGUCUGCUGUGAAAACUGGAGGCUCAACCUCCAGCCUGCAGUGGGUACGGGCAGACUAGAGUGCGGUAGGGGAGAUUGGAGUUCCUGGUGUAGCGGUGGAAUGCGCAGAUAUCAGGAGGAACACCGAUGGCGAAGGCAGAUCUCUGGGCCGUAACUGACGCUGAGGAGCGAAAGCAUGGGGAGCGAACAGGAUUAGAUACCCGGGUAGUCCCUGUCUCUUAUAC
RNAcentral lists this ribosomal RNA (301 nucleotides) under uncultured bacterium. RNAcentral describes it as "partial 16S ribosomal RNA". It matches the Rfam family "Bacterial small subunit ribosomal RNA", at positions 509 to 807 of the family's 1533-position model. The record is from RNAcentral.